UACGUAGGGUGCAAGCGUUGUCCGGAAUUAUUGGGCGUAAAGAGCGUGUAGGCGGCCCGAUAAGUCCGCCGUGAAAGUCCAGGGCUCAACCCUGGAAUGCCGGUGGAAACUGUCGGGCUGGAGUCCGGAAGAGGCGAGUGGAAUUCCUGGUGUAGCGGUGAAAUGCGCAGAUAUCAGGAGGAACACCGGUGGCGAAGGCGGAUCUCUGGGCCGUAACUGACGCUGAGGAGCGAAAGCAUGGGGAGCGAACAGG
This 253-nucleotide ribosomal RNA is filed under the name uncultured bacterium. Its description in RNAcentral is "partial 16S ribosomal RNA". It matches the Rfam family "Bacterial small subunit ribosomal RNA", at positions 524 to 776 of the family's 1533-position model. The record is from RNAcentral.